RNAcentral lists this ribosomal RNA (2755 nucleotides) under Enterobacter hormaechei. RNAcentral's name for it is "23S ribosomal RNA". It matches the Rfam family "Bacterial large subunit ribosomal RNA". Lineage: Bacteria; Pseudomonadati; Pseudomonadota; Gammaproteobacteria; Enterobacterales; Enterobacteriaceae. The record is from RNAcentral.
UUAAGCGACUAAGCGUACACGGUGGAUGCCCUGGCAGUCAGAGGCGAUGAAGGACGUGCUAAUCUGCGAAAAGCGCCGGCGAGGUGAUAUGAACCUUUGACCCGGCGAUGUCCGAAUGGGGAAACCCAGUGCAAUCCGUUGCACUAUCGUUAACUGAAUACAUAGGUUAACGAGGCGAACCGGGGGAACUGAAACAUCUAAGUACCCCGAGGAAAAGAAAUCAACCGAGAUUCCCCCAGUAGCGGCGAGCGAACGGGGAGCAGCCCGGAGUCUGAAUCAGCUUGUGUGUUAGUGGAACGGUCUGGAAAGUCCGACGGUACAGGGUGAUAGUCCCGUACACGAAAGCACACAUGCUGUGAACUCGAAGAGUAGGGCGGGACACGUGGUAUCCUGUCUGAAUAUGGGGGGACCAUCCUCCAAGGCUAAAUACUCCUGACUGACCGAUAGUGAACCAGUACCGUGAGGGAAAGGCGAAAAGAACCCCGGCGAGGGGAGUGAAAAAGAACCUGAAACCGUGUACGUACAAGCAGUGGGAGCCUCUUUAUGGGGUGACUGCGUACCUUUUGUAUAAUGGGUCAGCGACUUAUAUUCUGUAGCAAGGUUAACCGUAUAGGGGAGCCGAAGGGAAACCGAGUCUUAACUGGGCGUUAAGUUGCAGGGUAUAGACCCGAAACCCGGUGAUCUAGCCAUGGGCAGGUUGAAGGUUGGGUAACACUAACUGGAGGACCGAACCGACUAAUGUUGAAAAAUUAGCGGAUGACCUGUGGCUGGGGGUGAAAGGCCAAUCAAACCGGGAGAUAGCUGGUUCUCCCCGAAAGCUAUUUAGGUAGCGCCUCGUGAACUCAUCUUCGGGGGUAGAGCACUGUUUCGGCUAGGGGGCCAUCCCGGCUUACCAACCCGAUGCAAACUACGAAUACCGAAGAAUGUUAUCACGGGAGACACACGGCGGGUGCUAACGUCCGUCGUGAAGAGGGAAACAACCCAGACCGCCAGCUAAGGUCCCAAAGUCAUGGUUAAGUGGGAAACGAUGUGGGAAGGCACAGACAGCCAGGAUGUUGGCUUAGAAGCAGCCAUCAUUUAAAGAAAGCGUAAUAGCUCACUGGUCGAGUCGGCCUGCGCGGAAGAUGUAACGGGGCUAAACCAUGCACCGAAGCUGCGGCAGCGACNGAAGGUGUCCUGUGAGGGGUGCUGGAGGUAUCAGAAGUGCGAAUGCUGACAUAAGUAACGAUAAAGCGGGUGAAAAGCCCGCUCGCCGGAAGACCAAGGGUUCCUGUCCAACGUUAAUCGGGGCAGGGUGAGUCGACCCCUAAGGCGAGGCCGAAAGGCGUAGUCGAUGGGAAACAGGUUAAUAUUCCUGUACUUGGUGUUACUGCGAAGGGGGGACGGAGAAGGCUAUGUCAGCCGGGCGACGGUUGUCCCGGUUUAAGCAUGUAGGCGGAGGUUCCAGGUAAAUCCGGUACCUUAUUAACGCUGAGGUGUGAUGACGAGGCACUACGGUGCUGAAGUGAUAAAUGCCCUGCUUCCAGGAAAAGCCUCUAAGCAUCAGGUAACACGAAAUCGUACCCCAAACCGACACAGGUGGUCAGGUAGAGAAUACCAAGGCGCUUGAGAGAACUCGGGUGAAGGAACUAGGCAAAAUGGUGCCGUAACUUCGGGAGAAGGCACGCUGAUAUGUAGGUGAAGUCCCUGCGGACGGAGCUGAAAUCAGUCGAAGAUACCAGCUGGCUGCAACUGUUUAUUAAAAACACAGCACUGUGCAAACACGAAAGUGGACGUAUACGGUGUGACGCCUGCCCGGUGCCGGAAGGUUAAUUGAUGGGGUUAGCGGCAACGCGAAGCUCUUGAUCGAAGCCCCGGUAAACGGCGGCCGUAACUAUAACGGUCCUAAGGUAGCGAAAUUCCUUGUCGGGUAAGUUCCGACCUGCACGAAUGGCGUAAUGAUGGCCAGGCUGUCUCCACCCGAGACUCAGUGAAAUUGAACUCGCUGUGAAGAUGCAGUGUACCCGCGGCAAGACGGAAAGACCCCGUGAACCUUUACUAUAGCUUGACACUGAACACUGGUCCUUGAUGUGUAGGAUAGGUGGGAGGCUUUGAAGCGUGGACGCCAGUCUGCGUGGAGCCAACCUUGAAAUACCACCCUUUAAUGGCUGGUGUUCUAACGUAGACCCGUAAUCCGGGUUGCGGACAGUGUCUGGUGGGUAGUUUGACUGGGGCGGUCUCCUCCCAAAGAGUAACGGAGGAGCACGAAGGUUGGCUAAUCCUGGUCGGACAUCAGGAGGUUAGUGCAAUGGCAUAAGCCAGCUUGACUGCGAGCGUGACGGCGCGAGCAGGUGCGAAAGCAGGUCAUAGUGAUCCGGUGGUUCUGAAUGGAAGGGCCAUCGCUCAACGGAUAAAAGGUACUCCGGGGAUAACAGGCUGAUACCGCCCAAGAGUUCAUAUCGACGGCGGUGUUUGGCACCUCGAUGUCGGCUCAUCACAUCCUGGGGCUGAAGUAGGUCCCAAGGGUAUGGCUGUUCGCCAUUUAAAGUGGUACGCGAGCUGGGUUUAGAACGUCGUGAGACAGUUCGGUCCCUAUCUGCCGUGGGCGCUGGAGAAUUGAGGGGGGCUGCUCCUAGUACGAGAGGACCGGAGUGGACGCAUCACUGGUGUUCGGGUUGUCAUGCCAAUGGCACUGCCCGGUAGCUAAAUGCGGAAGAGAUAAGUGCUGAAAGCAUCUAAGCACGAAACUUGCCCCGAGAUGAGUUCUCCCUGAGAC